Molecule: long non-coding RNA, 6931 nt
Filed under: Durio zibethinus
Lineage: Eukaryota; Viridiplantae; Streptophyta; Magnoliopsida; Malvales; Malvaceae
Description: long non-coding RNA (DZIB_LNC000605)
Source: RNAcentral
CUUGAGCUACUAGUAGCUCCACCAUCUCUUAAAUUAUCUAAUUCUAUAAGUGAAAAAUCAAAUUAAAGUCAUAAAUCACAUAAUGCUAAUUGCUGGUGAAGGAGGUGCAAUUAAUUUUAUGUUAGUUUUUUUUCAUGAGAAUAACAAUUAUAAAUUUCUAAAGAAAAAAAUACAAAAGAUAAUUUAAUUAUUGGGAUUAAAAAGAUUUAAUUAUGUUAUCAAUAUUUAAAUGAUAAACUCCUAAAGCAUAUAAAUAAUAAAAUCAUAAUCUUACAUAUGUAGUUAAUAUAUCAAAACAAAAAAUUGAAAGGCCAAAAAUUAAAAAAAAUUGCUUAAAUUAUUUAAUUAUGAUUAUUUUUAAUGAAUUUAUUUAUCAACAUAAAUUGCAUAUUCAAUAGCUUUUGCAAUAACUAAAGCAACAAAUUUCACGUAAUUGUUUUUAGUCUUAUCUACAUUAAACUUUUAUAUCGUUUUAUUUGUAUUUUCAUUUAAUGUGAAAAAUCAUUUUACUUAUAAAAAAGGAAUUUAAUAAUAAAAAUAAAAUCAUUUAAAUUUAAAUUUAAAUUUAUACAAAAUUACUAAUUGUAUUUUAAUCAAUCACUUUAAAUAAUUUUGGAAUUAAAAGUUAAGGGUUUAAUUAAUCACUUUUAGCACUUCUUUAAUUUAAUUAUAAAAAAAAUUUAAUAAUAAAAAUUUCAUUUAAAUUAAAAUUUAUAAAAAAAUUUACUAAAGAUAUUUUAAUCAAUCACUUUUAAUACUUUCAAAAUUAAAAUUUUAAAAUUUUAAAUGAUUUAAUUUCUCGUAAACUCUAUUUUUAAUUCUUAUUGAUUUAAAUUAAACUUAAAUAAAUUAAUAAAAGUUAUAUAUUUAAGGAUAAAUUUGUUAAUUUAAAAAUUUAUAGAAGUAUUUAAGUCGAUUAUUAUUAAUAUUUUUUAUAUUCACACUUUCAUACAUAGAUAAUUUAUAUAUACAUAUUAAAAUAUAUAUAUAUAUAAAUAAAUACUCGAUAAAAAUCACGAGUCUCUCAAAUUAAGUAUUAAAUUAUUUAAACUCGACUCCACUCAUUAUUUGAAUAAUUCAAUCUCAAUCUCUUUCGUUCUAUAAUAAAUAAAUCAAGCUCGAAUAUUCACUAAAUCAAAUGAGUAACUCACAAAUAGCAUGACUCGUUCACACCCUACAUAAGUGCACUAAAAAGUAUAUUCUUUGCUAUUGCUUUCAGCUUGGAUAAGAUUAAAAUGUUUGAUGUAUAAAAUAUUUUAGAGGGAACAUUAUUAUAAAACGACAGAAGUAUCUAAGCAAAUGAUGGAUUAGGUACAUUAUCCUUUAACGAUUAAUUCCCCAUCUAUCCCGAGUUUUGGACCAGAUACAUUAGCUAGAGACCUUGAUUUCUGAAUUUAGAUUUGCUUUUGGGGUAAAGGGAAUGGCCAUUAUCUUGAAUAAAGGAUAAGGUCUUGUUGCCCUUUGAUAAGACUAAAAGAGAGGUUCUAAAUUAGAUUUGAGUUUCAAGUCGCACUAUUAUAAAUUUUCUCCCGAUUUCAUCGUAGUUUUUUAAUUUAUUUGCUUAGUUAUUUAUGAGUUUUACAUUUAAUAAAAAGAAGCGAUCGCAAUCAAAAAAUAAAAAAAAAUAAACCGUAAAUAUUAAAAUUUAAAAUUAUUAGAUGUCAAUAAUUAUAUAAAUUAAUUAAAUAACUUAAAUUUCGGUUUAUGCGAUAAGUAACAUUGCCUUCACUAAUCUUAGACAUGACACAAAAUUUUCUGUCGGAGACACCAAUUCGGUGCAGUUUGACUGAUUUGCAAAGACUGUAAUUUCUGAAUUUAGAUUUCUUUGUGGGGUAAAAGGGAAUUACCCGGAAACUUAAAUAUGCAUAAGAUUAACAUUAGGUUCUUCCUUAACCUAAAAUUUGAACCAGGUUCAUUAACUGAUGUCUUAAUUUUAAUUUAGUAUUGUUAAUGGGUUAAAGGGAGCAUAACCACAUUUUUAUUUUUUUAAUUUCGAUCCUCUAAUCUUAGAGAUACCAUAUAAUUUCUGGUGAUGAUCAAUAAUUUGGUGUAGUUAAUUUGAUCUUUUAAACUAAGCGAAAUAUUCUAAUUUUGAAAAAUUAUAGUUUGAGAAAUUUAUAAAAAAAAAAAAAAGAAAACCAAUUUUUUCUCUCAAAUUUCAAUGUCACUGACAAUUCGAACUCAGUAUCAUGUUUACAGUUUAUACUAUUUUUUGAGAACCUCUACGUUAAUGCCAAACUCACCGUAUGCUUAAGGCUGCAUUUGGAACUAAAUGGAACUGCGUUUAUUAUGAAAAUUCGUGUCAAUCGUACUGUACAGUGUAAAAAUAUACAUUUGGUAACAUGAACGCACGGUACAAAUGGAUUCUCACCGUGCUGAAUCUCAAAAAUAUAACUGGUGCUUUGUGCUCCAGUGAGAAAACUCACCUCUACCAAUUCCUAUCUUUCCAAAUAAGCACCUUGUUUCAUUUUUAUUUUCUUUUGCUUUUACUCCUGACGGCAUAAAUGUAUAGUUAAUUAUUGUCUUUUUUUUUUUUAACUUUGAUUUUUUAUUUAAAAAUUUUUAAUAUUCCUUCCCAUUUCCAUUUUUUUUUCAAAUUUUAUAAUUUUUUUAUAAUAAAUAUAAUUAUUAUUUUAAUGUGAAAAAUAAUUAUUGUCUUCUAAAUUAUUAUCAAUUUGUGUAAAUAUAUUAUUAAUUUUUAAAAAAUAAUUUUUUAUUAUUAUCAAUUUUAUUAAUUUCUAAAAUUUAAUAACAAAAUUAUUAUUUGAAAUAAAAAUAAUUUUAGUAAUUUUAAUUAUUUAUUAAUUUUAUAAAUAUCAAAUUAUAAUUUAAAUUUUAUUAUAUAUAAAUUUCAAUCUAAUAUUCUUAAUUAUCAUUUUUAUUUUCAAUACAUUUCAUCUCACUACUAUUGCUACUUUUGUAUUUAAACACACAUUUCACUAUUGAUUUUAAUUUCACUGUUAUUAUAUUUAAUCUUAUCACUACAAUAAUUAAUCUCACAUCCAUCAUUAUUUUCAAUUUCACCAAAGCUAAUUUCAUCACCUAUCCAAAUGAACCUUAAUAAAGACUUCAUGUUAAAAACAACAACGAUAGCUUAACUUGUGAGGUAAAAUAAGUAAAUAAAAUUAAACUUGUUAAUGGGUUGGAUCAAAUUAAAUCUGGUUAAUUUUUGAAAUCCUUUGACUAUGGUCUAGUUUGGCCUAUCAACUCAAACAUAUUUGAUUAUUUAUUAAAAAUACUGAAUAUUAAAAAAUUACUUUUAUAUUAAUAUUUUAUAUAUUUUUAAAUUUAAUUUAAAUAUUUUAUUUAUUUAUUAAAUAAUAAUUCAAUUUGAAUUGGUUUGAAUUUCAAAACUCAUAUUCAAGACUAACGGUAUAUAAAUCUAUACGUAAUAAAAAAAAAGUGAAUCCAAUCAAUAAACCUAGCUAUCUCAAAAAUAAAUGUUUUUUAAUUCGAAUCUUACUAAUGACCUUUCACUUAUAUUACUUAAUGCAUGACUUAUGCAAAACACAAUAUUUUUUAUCCUACUCGGAAUGAUUGAUUAGCAACUUAACUAUCAAGAAUUUCGUUUUAAAAAAUUGUUAUUGUCACAAAUGCAUAAACUAUUUUCUUUUUCGUGUCUUGCUUAGGUGUGGGGAUAACAAAGAGCAAUUAUUGACUUAUAUUAUAUGUCACAAUUAAUUUGACUAAUCGCAUUUCCUCAUUCUACAUAGCUUUUCUCAUGGUUAUUUUGGCAAUUAAAUAUAAAAAUAAAUUAAUAUCAUGAACAAUCUUUAAAUUAUUGAAAUAUUUAAUAUAAUAUUUAAAUUUUAAAAAUCUCUAAUAUAAUAUUGAAUUAUAAAUUUUUUAAAUAAUAUGAUAUUUAGGUAUUAUUUAUCUGUCAUGUAUUAUUAUUUGAAGUUAAUUAAAAAUUAAUAUCAUUUUAAUUAAUAAAUUUAUAUUUCAAAUAUCAUAUUGAACAUUUAAUUAUACUUUAAAAAUCGUUAAUAAUAUUAGCUUUAUAAAAAUAAACUUAAACCGGUAAAAUAUAGCAACAUUGAUUAACCAUUAAUUAAUGAAAUUAACUUUGUUGGAAUAGUGUUUAUAUAUAUAUAUAUAUAUAUAGAUAUAUAUUCAUUAGCUGGUUUUGAAAAUAGAAUAUUUGACAUUAAUUGCAUUAGUGAAUUAUAAUUGAUUGAUAAUUGUCAAUAUUUUAUAGUAUUUUGAAUCUUUCCCUGAGACCCCUUCUCAACAAAGAAUAUAUGAUCAUAUUUUUAUUUGAUACCUUCUCGAUAAUGAAUUAUCAUCAUUUUUAUUUCUAUUCUAUGAUUGAUUAUCUCACUUGAACUCAAAAAUUGAAACGAAAUUCAAGUUAACUAAUAAUUUUUAAUUUGAAAUCAUAUUUAUGAUUAAUAGUUUUUCUAAUAAAUACUUCAAAGUGAAAAAUAAAAUAAAAUAAAAUAUAAAUAAAUAAAAUUCAUAGUGUCGCAGUCAUCUCAUAAAACACUCUAUUUUAGCAAGCUGCAGAAAAUAUUUAAGUCACAGUUUUCACUAGGGUUAUAAAUAAAUCAAAUAUGAAUAAAUGAACAUAUAUUUGUCAUUUUUAUUCAUUUAUUUUUAGAGGUAUUCAUAUUCAAUUCGUAUUCGGUUUAUUUAAAUAGUAAAUUAUUUGUAUUCGAUUUGUGCUAAAUUCAAUUAAGUUAAAUGAGCUCGUUCAUGAGCAUUAAAUGAGAAUAUUCAUUUAAAUUAUAUAAAUAUAUAUACAUAUAUCUAUUUAUUCGUAUUCGAUAAAUAAUAAAUUAUUUGUAUUCGAUUUGUACUGAAUUCAAUUAAGUUAAAUAAGCUCAUUUAUGAGCAUUAAAUGAGAAUAUUCAUUUAAAUUAUAUAAAUAUAUAUACAUAUAUCUAUUUAUUCGUAUUCGAUAAAUAAUAAAUUAUUUGUAUUCGAUUUGUACUGAAUUCAAUUAAGUUAAAUAAGCUCAUUUAUGAGCAUUAAAUGAGCAUGUUCAUUAACAUAUAUAAACGAACAUAUUUAUAAACAAUAAACAAAUCAUUACCAAAUAAAUUCAAACAAAUAAAUUAUAAAUGAACAUAAACGAACCUAAACAAAUAUAAACAAACCUUAAAAUAGAAUUAAGAUAAACGAUAAAAAUAUAAUUUUAUUAAUAUUAUUAUAAACAAACAAUAAACGAACAAUAAAUGAAUAAUAAACGAUAAACAAACUUUAAAUAAGUUUGUUUAUGAAUAUAAAUGAACUUAACAAACCUCUAUUCGUAUUCAAUUCAUUUAAUAAAUGAAUAUAAAAAUAUUAUUCAAAAUCUGUUAAACUUAAUAAACGAAUAUAAGCGAACAAAAACCAAACAUAUUUACGAACAAUUCAUCGAAAACUCUGUUCAUUUACAUCCCUAAUUUCCACAUGAAACUUGAAUUGCUUAUUCCUUGUGUUUACUCUACUAGAUAAAUCUAAAUGCUUAAAACAUUUUUCUUCCGUAAAUACAGAUUUUAAACCUAAAAUACAAUAAAUAGUUUACAAACAAAUUUAUAUUUUUCUUACAUAUUUGGUUGAUUAUUAAAAUAAUAUACCUAAAAAAUUAAUUGAAUUUGAACUCAAAACUUAAGUCAAAUAAUUUAUAUAAUCAUUUUUAAUAAGUGAUAUCCAAUAAAUUUAAAGUUUAAAUAUCAAUAUUUAUAAUUUUUUAUCUUCAAAUUAUAAUUAUUUUUAUAAAAAUAUUAAUUGAAUUCAUUUAAAACUUAUAAGUAUAAAUUGGAGGCCACAUGCAAAGAAAAAAAUGAUAAAUCUUAAAUAAAGUUUACUUAAGCAUUUUUUUUCUAUAUUUGAAUUCGGCUUAAUUUUUAAGUAAGAUAUACUAUAUUUACAUAAAGUCAAAUGCCCUAAUACCUUGUCUAAUAAUUUAUAAAUUAUAGUGAAAUUUUUAAUAUAAUAAUUAAAUUUUAAAAAUUUUUAAUUUGAUAUUUGAACAAUAAAUUAUUAACUUAUAUAAUAUUUGAAGAGUUAUUUGUCUUUCACGUAUUAUUAUUUGAAAUUAAACAUAUAUAAGUAUCAUAUUAAUUAAUAAAUUUAUAAUUUAGUUAUCAUGUUAAAAAUUUUAAAGUCAAGAUAUCAUAUUAAAUAUUUUAUUAUAAUUUUAAAGUUAUUUAUGAUAUUAAUUCAAUUUAAAACUACAGAAAUAAUAAAAUAAUAAUUUAUAUAAAAUAUAUUAAAAUCUUAACUAAUAGGGUUAUUGAUUGUUGAAAGGUGGAAAUUUUGUUUUUUUUUUUUAAGGGUAAAAAUUUUAUAAACUUUCCAUGCUCAUUUUUUGGUAAAAACAGUAGGGCACUUAUCAAGUUGUCAUUUAUGAAAUACUAAUAAAUUUCCAAAAAUUAUGAGACCCUGAAAAUCAGAUAUGUCGUGGCACUGUUUCAUUGGACAGCUAAUUAUAGGCUGGGCAAGAAGUCAAAAGUGUAAUUUAAAGACGAAGAGGGGCAUUUUUAACCUCUUCCUCAGCCGAAAGAUACCAAUAACUCAAGAACACGUCAACAAGGAGUUCCUUGCCUAUAUAAAUUUUCCUUUCUCAGUCCUUUCUUCCAAACGCCACCUCCUCUGUCUCUCCUUUAACAUUGCCUCUUUCCUUACAGCAUUAAAUACUCCAAACACAGUCCCACGUUUUCGGAACUGUUUUUAGCUUAACGGCGGAGAUGAAGAUGCAGAGAUUUAUUCCUGUGAGCAGUGUCUUGUUGGAAACUAAAUAUUCUCUGCGAUGGUGGCAACGACAAAACCGCUGCUUCUCUCAGGUGGCUCGAAACGAGGUUGCUGACAACGGUGGCGUUGUUGUUCCAAAAAUGCCCCCAUUUGAUUACUCUCCGCCUCCUUACACCGGUCCCUCCGCCUUUGAGAUCCUCUCCAAACGCAAGGAGUAUCUUAGCCCCUCCAUGUUUUACUUUUACAACAAUCC